GUGCUAAUACAUGCAAGUCGAACGAACUCUGGUAUUGAUUGGUGCUUGCAUCAUGAUUUACAUUUGAGUGAGUGGCGAACUGGUGAGUAACACGUGGGAAACCUGCCCAGAAGCGGGGGAUAACACCUGGAAACAGAUGCUAAUACCGCAUAACAACUUGGACCGCAUGGUCCGAGUUUGAAAGAUGGCUUCGGCUAUCACUUUUGGAUGGUCCCGCGGCGUAUUAGCUAGAUGGUGGGGUAACGGCUCACCAUGGCAAUGAUACGUAGCCGACCUGAGAGGGUAAUCGGCCACAUUGGGACUGAGACACGGCCCAAACUCCUACGGGAGGCAGCAGUAGGGAAUCUUCCACAAUGGACGAAAGUCUGAUGGAGCAACGCCGCGUGAGUGAAGAAGGGUUUCGGCUCGUAAAACUCUGUUGUUAAAGAAGAACAUAUCUGAGAGUAACUGUUCAGGUAUUGACGGUAUUUAACCAGAAAGCCACGGCUAACUACGUGCCAGCAGCCGCGGUAAUACGUAGGUGGCAAGCGUUGUCCGGAUUUAUUGGGCGUAAAGCGAGCGCAGGCGGUUUUUUAAGUCUGAUGUGAAAGCCUUCGGCUCAACCGAAGAAGUGCAUCGGAAACUGGGAAACUUGAGUGCAGAAGAGGACAGUGGAACUCCAUGUGUAGCGGUGAAAUGCGUAGAUAUAUGGAAGAACACCAGUGGCGAAGGCGGCUGUCUGGUCUGUAACUGACGCUGAGGCUCGAAAGUAUGGGUAGCAAACAGGAUUAGAUACCCUGGUAGUCCAUACCGUAAACGAUGAAUGCUAAGUGUUGGAGGGUUUCCGCCCUUCAGUGCUGCAGCUAACGCAUUAAGCAUUCCGCCUGGGGAGUACGGCCGCAAGGCUGAAACUCAAAGGAAUUGACGGGGGCCCGCACAAGCGGUGGAGCAUGUGGUUUAAUUCGAAGCUACGCGAAGAACCUUACCAGGUCUUGACAUACUAUGCAAAUCUAAGAGAUUAGACGUUCCCUUCGGGGACAUGGAUACAGGUGGUGCAUGGUUGUCGUCAGCUCGUGUCGUGAGAUGUUGGGUUAAGUCCCGCAACGAGCGCAACCCUUAUUAUCAGUUGCCAGCAUUAAGUUGGGCACUCUGGUGAGACUGCCGGUGACAAACCGGAGGAAGGUGGGGAUGACGUCAAAUCAUCAUGCCCCUUAUGACCUGGGCUACACACGUGCUACAAUGGAUGGUACAACGAGUUGCGAACUCGCGAGAGUAAGCUAAUCUCUUAAAGCCAUUCUCAGUUCGGAUUGUAGGCUGCAACUCGCCUACAUGAAGUCGGAAUCGCUAGUAAUCGCGGAUCAGCAUGCCGCGGUGAAUACGUUCCCGGGCCUUGUACACACCGCCCGUCACACCAUGAGAGUUUGUAACACCCAAAGUCGGUGGGGUAACCUUUUAGGAACCAGCCGCCUAAG
This 1451-nucleotide ribosomal RNA is filed under the name Lactiplantibacillus plantarum. RNAcentral describes it as "bacterial SSU rRNA". It matches the Rfam family "Bacterial small subunit ribosomal RNA". Lineage: Bacteria; Bacillati; Bacillota; Bacilli; Lactobacillales; Lactobacillaceae. The record is from RNAcentral.